RNAcentral lists this long non-coding RNA (770 nucleotides) under Cyanistes caeruleus (blue tit). Its description in RNAcentral is "lncRNA (ENSCCEG00000014866.1)". The record is from RNAcentral. Lineage: Eukaryota; Metazoa; Chordata; Aves; Passeriformes; Paridae.
UCUCUUACACGGACAAGUAAUGGUGUCAUCUUUAGAGCUGCCUGCAGUCACUGCCAGCUGUGAUUCACUGUUGGCCAGUUGCUAAAUUUAUUUUAUGUUUUCCUAGCAAGGCAACAAGAUUCUACCAGAGGAGUAUUCAGUAAGAUAGAAAAAUACAGCUGGAACAGAAAGAAAACAAAAAAGCAAGCUUUUUGACAUUGGUGUAGCUGAAGGAACAUAGGACAGUCGAGGAUUACCCCACCUAACUCAUGCUUUGCUCUAGAUAGGAUGUAGAGAUGAUUUCAGCUUUCUAAGCAGGGAUCACAUGAAAAACAAAUAUUUUAAAUAGAAGAUUAAAGAGCUGGAAGAAGAAAAUUAUGCAGCAAAUAGAUGGUGACUAUCAAGCUACCUUGUUACAGGAGUGUGACAGAUAAUGGCCACUGUCUGAAGGUCUCAUUGGCUGCAGGGACUGGCAUCGUAUGCAGAAAAUGCGGAAAAGCCGGGUUGAGUGAACACGUUCCUACUUAAUAACAACAAAAGGGACAGUUUUGUAUUUUGCUGCAGAUAAAAGCACUUAAAAGGCCGACUCAAAAGGUAAUGUCUGGAGAAUUGUUCCACUGAAUAGACCCACAAACCUAAAUUUAUGUUGCAUCUGUUCUUUAUUACUUAUUGUUUAUGAGCUGUGUGUGCAAAUGGUAAAUGUGUCAAUAAUUUGCUUCACAUUUAGCCUAGUUAUCAUAAUGGAGCUAAUUUAACAUUAUCAUACUAAUAAAAUACCACAAAACUGGACA